AUUGAACGCUGGCGGCAGGCCUAACACAUGCAAGUCGAACGGUAACAGGAAGAAGCUUGCUUCUUUGCUGACGAGUGGCGGACGGGUGAGUAAUGUCUGGGAAACUGCCUGAUGGAGGGGGAUAACUACUGGAAACGGUAGCUAAUACCGCAUAAUGUCGCAAGACCAAAGAGGGGGACCUUCGGGCCUCUUGCCAUCGGAUGUGCCCAGAUGGGAUUAGCUAGUAGGUGGGGUAACGGCUCACCUAGGCGACGAUCCCUAGCUGGUCUGAGAGGAUGACCAGCCAACCCGGGACGGGAGACCGGGCCGAGCCCCCGAGGGGGGGAGAAGGGGGGGAAUUUUGAAGAAGGGGGGAAAGCUUAAUACAGUUUGCCGGGGGGAAGGAAGAGGGCCUUCGGUUUGAAAAGUACUUCCGGGGGGGGGGAGGGAAAAAAAUUUAAUCCUUUCGCUCAUUGACGUUACCCGAAAAAGAAGCCCGGGCUAACCCCGUC
RNAcentral lists this ribosomal RNA (491 nucleotides) under uncultured bacterium. RNAcentral describes it as "partial 16S ribosomal RNA". It matches the Rfam family "Bacterial small subunit ribosomal RNA", at positions 29 to 507 of the family's 1533-position model. The record is from RNAcentral.